RNAcentral lists this ribosomal RNA (400 nucleotides) under phytoplankton environmental sample. RNAcentral describes it as "partial small subunit ribosomal RNA". It matches the Rfam family "Eukaryotic small subunit ribosomal RNA", at positions 587 to 969 of the family's 1831-position model. The record is from RNAcentral.
AGCUCCAAUAGCGUAUAUUAAAGUUGCUGCAGUUAAAAAGCUCGUAGUUGGAUUUGUGGCGCGGUCGUCCGGCGGGGCUUCCGGUUUCAUAGUAUCCCGGGGCCGUUUGUCUGGGUUCUUGGCCGCCCCAUUCUUCGGUUGCGUGUCGCUGGCAUUAGGUUGUCGGCUUCUUCGCGCCGAUCGUUUACUGUGAAAAAAUUAGAGUGUUCAAAGCAGGCUAUCGCUCUGAAUACUACAGCAUGGAAUAACACGAUAGGACUCCGAGCCUAUUCUGUUGGUCUUCGGGACCGGAGUAAUGAUUAAGAGGGACAGUUGGGGGCAUUCGUAUUCCGAUGUCAGAGGUGAAAUUCUUGGAUUAUCGGAAGACGAACAUCUGCGAAAGCAUUUGCCAAGGAUGUUU